GGGCGCAUAGCUCUAAUGGUAGAGCGUCGGUCUCCAAAACCGGUGGUUGGGGGUUCGAGUCCCUCUGCGCUCG
RNAcentral lists this transfer RNA (73 nucleotides) under Candidatus Falkowiibacteriota bacterium. RNAcentral's name for it is "tRNA-Trp". It matches the Rfam family "tRNA". From Rfam's summary of the family: Transfer RNA (tRNA) molecules are approximately 80 nucleotides in length. Their secondary structure includes four short double-helical elements and three loops (D, anti-codon, and T loops). Lineage: Bacteria; Candidatus Falkowiibacteriota. The record is from RNAcentral.